This 332-nucleotide long non-coding RNA is filed under the name Salvia miltiorrhiza (redroot sage). RNAcentral's name for it is "long non-coding RNA (SMIL_LNC001353)". The record is from RNAcentral. Lineage: Eukaryota; Viridiplantae; Streptophyta; Magnoliopsida; Lamiales; Lamiaceae.
AACUAAGUUUAGAUUAUGAUGUUCUUGGUUCAAUUCAAGUGAUGAAAUGUUAGUUCUCUUUAGCAAUCUGCGAAAAUUCUACCUAGUGUGUAUUACUUUCUAUUAUCUAAUAACUAUCGAUUAAUUUGUCUUGAUGGUGUUCUUGCGUGUAUUCAUUAUUUCUAAAUUUGCUGAAGUCUUUUAUUGUGUUUCAUAUGUAUCCUUAAUUUUGUCAAUUUUUAAGAAGUUAAUAGAGAUUCUGUUAGUACUAUUGUCCACUGGUAUGUUCAAAUAUUUUAGUGGUCAUGUAGCUUGUUACUUUAUCACUAAAUUAUAACUAGAUAUGGGCUUAC